UGGUUCUGGCAUNGAUGAAGAACGCAGCGAAAUGCGAUAAGUAAUGUGAAUUGCAGAAUUCAGUGAAUCAUCGAAUCUUUGAACGCACAUUGCGCCCUUUGGUAUUCCGAGGGGCAUGCCUGUUCGAGCGUCAUUUCAACCCCCAAGCACUGCUUGGUGUUGGGCCUGGCCUUCAGUGGCCUGCCCUAAAACCAGUGGCGGCGCCAUCUGGCUCCAAGCGCAGUAAACCUCUCGCUAUGGUGUCCUUGUGGAUGCUUGCUGUAGCCUAAAUCGUCUAUGGUUGACCUCGGAUCAGGUAGGGAUACCCGCUGA
This 312-nucleotide unclassified non-coding RNA is filed under the name uncultured fungus. RNAcentral's name for it is "partial contains 5.8S ribosomal RNA and internal transcribed spacer 2". The stretch from base 1 to 133 matches the Rfam family "5.8S ribosomal RNA", at positions 22 to 154 of the family's 154-position model. Lineage: Eukaryota; Fungi. The record is from RNAcentral.